GUGGCAUUCAGUGCUUUGACCAUUGUUUCACACUCAAUGCCUCUUCUACAGUACAAAUUUGAUGUCUUGUUCUAGACGUUUUGAUUAUAGUUACUUAAGGCAUCACGCCUGACGUGUUUUGAGCUGCUAUAAAUGGAUGCAAUCAAGGACUUUUCCAAGCAUCUUAGCCAUUGAAUUUAAUUUCAAUAUCAUCAACAAGUUUUGGCUCCAUAAACAAUUACUAUCAAUGAUUCCAGUAUAAGUUUAGGUAUUCAUGUUAGAAAUGUGUGCUAAUAGACAAAGCACAUCUGAAUUUUCUAUUAAAAAUGAUUCUGUUUUCUUGGGGUUGCAAUUGAUGAGAGAUGUUGGUGAAGCUAAUCAUAUAGAAUUCCGGAGGUAAUUUCCUUGCUAAUUUGUUUUUGAUAUUUCUUUUGUCUAUUAUCAGUUUCGAAUGCCAUUUUUUUAAGUUAAGAAAAUUUGAUUUUGAUAUUUCCAUUCCAUCAAUGCUGCAAGUUAGUUAUUUGAUAAAUUUCUUGAAGAAUCAAACUCUAGGCGUUGGUCGUACCAUUGAGGUUGUCAAAAGACAUUUUCAGGAGUUGAUAUUAAGAUGUUUGGUUUAUCUUUCGGCUUCAUUUAAUAAACAAGCGUCAAAUUCCAUCUAAAGAAAGUGUUUCAUGCUGGACCAUCAGGAUUAAGAAACUCAUGUUUACCAAUUACCACUAAACUUUAAGGUGAGCAUGAUUGAAUGAAUUAAGGCUUGUACAAUCUUCUAGCAGUUCCAUUCAACACUUUGGUACAUUAUUUAGUGAAAUUUCUCUAAGUGUCUAUUAAUUUGUGAGAGCAAUUAUUCAAAUUACUUUCUUCAGCUUCUGUGAUUCUUUGCUUAAACUGUUAAUUUGACAUUUCUUCACGAUACAGGCACUCUAGUUGUUAUGCAAUCUUGCCCCCUCCACGAGAGCUCUCCACUGUAAAGCAAGUCAUAAAUUUUGAUGAAUUGCUUGAGAAUCAAUUAAUGUCAGGAGUUAGUGUUCUACACGUGUGGCACAUUCAAUAAUGAGGCAUCAAAUUCCAUCUAUUGAAGAUGUUUUAGUUGGAUUGUCAAGAUUCAGAAAGCCAGUGUAAGGAAAAUGAUGAACAUUUGAUACAUUCUUGCUUGUUACCAAGCUCAUUGGCUACAGUGUUCUGUGCUUGCUAAUUGCAUGGAUUUAUAUAUUUUCACCUUAUUUUUCAUUCCCCUCAAUCACUUGGAAUUCAGCAGUAUCUUUGCUAAAGGCAGGGGAAUUAAAAGAGGAUCAAAAUUGGAAAUAAAUGAAGUGAAGGAUUGGUUGAAGUGGACUUAACAGGGGAUGAUACAGCAAAGGUGAUAUGAUGGCAAAUAAUUCAAUAGAAUCAGUUGUUCCCAUGGAUGUUAAAAACUUCAAGUGGUUAGCCUCAAGCAAGGCACUACAGCGGGUUGUGAACAUUUAAUCCAUCAGAUACAUUAUUGAAAGUAUAUAUAAAAGCAAGCACGGCUUAACUAUGAUCUGUUGCCAGGCGAAUGGCAGAAGAAAUUCUUUGAAACUGAUGAAGCAUUUUUGGCUAGAUAUUACGUCUUUGAAAAGGUGGGAUAGUCUUUUCCAGUGAAUGUUUUGGAUGAGUUUGUGUUCUUCUUGGCUGGUAUCAAGUGGUAUUAUUUCACUACAAAAGGUGUUGAUCGAACCAUCGAGGUUGCCAAAAAAGAAAAUUACAUAAUCUUGUCAAAGUAAUGAGGUUCAUUUUGCAUUUUACAUCUACACAUACUACCUCACAUUAAGUUGUUUGGUUUAUCUUUUGGCUUUAUUGAGUAAACAUUUUCACUGCUAGUUCCAUUGUUGCAAGCGAAAGAUAGGAUUAACUCUAGUUUUGAUAAAGUCUUUUGUUUAAGAUGGAAUAGUUUUUGUAUUUACGGUGGAUGGCAGAAGCAAAUCUUUUGAAGUGAUGAAGUCCCAGCUCUG
This is a long non-coding RNA of Pistacia vera, 1952 nucleotides long. RefSeq lists it as uncharacterized. The transcript has 8 exons. Lineage: Eukaryota; Viridiplantae; Streptophyta; Magnoliopsida; Sapindales; Anacardiaceae. The record is from RefSeq and is a predicted model, not a curated record.